CCACUGUUUCGGAACAUCCCUCGAGAAAAAAAUAUUCAACUAAAAAAUGCAUCGCAAAUGGUAACCGCAGAGUUCAGGGAUGGCAGAUCCUCUGAGACAUUGGCCAUAUUUGGCAUUCAAAGUACCCCUCCUGCUAUUAUAAAUUUCAAGAGAGAUCAAUCCUCGAGCAUACAGACUUGCCUUUCCAAAGAACACACUUCCAGAGAAGCCCAUCAGGAAUAAUUCCUACUGAGGGACUUCACAAUGUGGAAAAAUCUGCUGGUCACGGUCCUCCUUGCAGGCCUCUGCAGCGAUGUUGGUCUCUGCGUGAGAAGGAGCAGUUCAUAUAGAAGAAGGAAGUUCUUCAAAAAUGCCAACAAAAAUUCCACCACCCUGAAAAAUCUUUGCUAUGGCAGUGCAAUGAUUGAGAACAUGACCCUGGAGGCCAAUGACACCAUUUUUUACAGAGAUAAUACCAAGGAGUUUCCCAAUGGAGUUUUCUACCCCAACUGUUCUUUGCCGCUCCGUCUUAAUGAGAGCAGAGAAACUCGAACUGAGGAAUGUGUUGAUUUCAUCAUCACUUUGACCAACUUGAGCCUGCCCGAUGGGAAGAAUGCAAGCGAACCCAGCAAGAGGGUGAUGUGGCACGUGAUCAAUCACUUGUGUGCCAAUGAAUCCUGCAGCCUGCCAUGCCCAGGGUCUUCAAAUGUUAGCAGUGCCCAUUACUUCAGUCAAAUUCUAAUGAUGAGCCUUGUGGCUUACUCCAUUCUUAGCUCACAGUAGAGUAUGGGAUAAAGUCCGAUGAAAACCAAAGAGGAAAUUUGCAAACAGCAAAGCUUCCUUCCCCAUGCUUGAAUUUCUAUGGAUAGGGAAAAGAUUAGUCAAUUAUGUGCAGACAUUUCCAAUUUUCAUUCAACCAUCAGCUUCCCCAUUCUGCUCCCCACAACGGAGGAAAAAGUGCAUGCUAUAAAUGCACAGGGAUGUAAAUGUGUGAAUGAUAUAGAGAACUGUGGUUUAACUAAGGUCAGAAAAAUCAAGGUUAGCUUUAACCAGCCUUUGAGCUUUGUCAAUCAGUGUCACUCUGGAAUGUAAUAUUUCUCUUUCUAGGCACCUCUGAAACUAUUAAUCAUGUUUAAUUAUAUUUUAUGUAAUUUAUGCUGAUACAUAUUUGGAUAAUCCCACAUAAUCUCAAUCUUAUAUCUAUUUGAUUUCUAUUAUCGUAAGUAUAUCUCACUGUAUCAUGUGUAAAAGCUAUAGCCAACUUAUAGAUGUGUCUACUUAGUCUAUAAUUAAUAUUUGCCAUAUUUAUUUAGGUAUAAUACAAUAUAGUUAUUAAUGAAAAUAAUGGCAAUAGAUUAGAUAGAUAGAUAGAUAGAUAGAUAGAUAGAUAGAUAGAUGAUAGAUAGAUAGAUAAAUAGAUAGAUAGAUGAUAGAUAGAUAAAUAGAUAGAUAGAUAGAUAGAUAGAUAGAUAGAUAGAUAGAUAAAUAGAUAGAUGAUAGGUAGGUAGAUAGAUAGAUAGAUAGAUAGAUAGAUAGAUAGAUAGAUAGAUAAAUAGAUAGAUGAUAGAUAGAUAAAUAGAUAGAUAGAUGAUAGAUAGAUAGAUAGAUAGAUAGAUAGAUAGAUAGAUAGAUAGAUAGAUUAUAUUAUCAAGUUUCAUUAUGUACUGGUCAUUGACCACCUUAAAGAUUUUCUUCUUGUGUGGUAAGAAAAUGUAUAUCAGGGAAAGAAGACAGGCAAGUGCCAUCAUGUGCAUCAUACUAAUUGCACACAUGAUGAGUAUUACAUAAUUUGCAUCACUUGGCAUCAGUUGUGCAAAUGACAUCUCUGGGAAUUAUAAUUAAUGCCCACAUAUAAAUGAUAGGAUUUUAGAAACCAUCUUAGAGAAAUUACUGUAGACCUAAGCAGAUUGGGAUCUACUCAAAGAUUUCUGGAUGAUUAGGAGCAGCUCAGUCAUCUUUUUUUUCAGAUCUCCAUUUAAUAUAUAUAUGCCAAUCUCAAACACAUGACUCUAGAUGGCUUGAAAAUAAAAUAGUAAAGUAAAAUAAACAUAACACCAAUAAAUAACAAAUAUAAUGCCACACUAAUUUAUAAAUCACAAUAUAUUAUAUACUACGACUGAGUUUGUAAAAAAUAAGACCCAGGACAGUUUUUGCUCCAAGGAUGAAGUCUAUCUGUAAGAUGAAAUCUCUUUAUCGCUAUUUUAAACCAAGAUGGGAUCGUCUCCUUGAGUUCAGUGAAAUUAAGAAUGAAAAUGAUUAAUAAUGGUGCUCUCAUAAAUCCUACAUUUAUUCACUAGAUUUUUACAUGUGAACAGAAGCUCCACCAUAGCCUGUUAGCUAUCAAUAAAGAAAGGGAAGAAAAAUACCCCUAAAGAAAACCAUCUUUUCAAGCACGGCUUCUACUUCAUUUUGUUUCCAUCACAACUAAUAUGUUUUGCUAACUUACCCCCAAGAGUCAUCUUGUACAAUGGAAAAUGCAUCACAGCCAAGAUGGCAUGAACCAAUUGCCAUAACUACAAACCAAACUUUCAAAUCCAAAGGAGAAGAAGACCAUAAUUCUCAACUUGUAAACCACAACGCUUGAUUAAAUUGGCCAGGUUAUGAUUGAGCAUCUUGGGAUUAGUUUGGUUUUGGCUCACGGUGUUAUGCAAAUCCAAUCGAUUGUGAUGCAAUCAAUAAAUAAUAGUUAUAGAAAAGUCUGACUUUGUGCAAUGUAUCACCUCAGUUUACAAUAAAUGUCAGCAACCAUCAGGGACUAGAGAAGUCCUCAUGGACUAUGAUUUGGCCAUGUAAAAGAAACAUCCAUUUUAAACCCUCUCCUACAAAUUGUGCAUAAGUGGAUGCCUACUGAUAUUUGCUUUGAGCUUUUUUAUGUCAGUAAUGGAAAGUCUGAUUCUUCAUUUUCCAUCCAUCGUAGUAGUAUGACCUUGUGGACAAAUGUACACAUUAAUCUUGUCUUUCUGAUCAGAGUCUUGGCUAGAACUUUCCUUCCCAUUAACUGUGCCAUUAUCUCUUAAGUAAUCAGUGGAAUAGCAUCCAUUAGAUACACCACAAAGAAGACAAGAGCAAACACUUUGAGUUGUUUGGCAUGGCCCCCAUUUUCUACCAAAGACUUCCUCAUCUGCCAUCUUCAUUUAUUGUACUUGAAAAGCAGUGAUCUGGAUACUGAUAGAGAAUAUUUGUAGCUCAGGAUUGAACUGUGGGGUCCUUGGUACUCUCUCAACUUGGCGGUUUUCUUGCAGGCAUUUAAUUUACCAAGCUAGGUAACAUCAUCAAUGCUAGCAUGAUGUUACCUAGCUUAGUAAUGAAACAUCUGCAAGAAAACCAGCAAGCUCAGAGAGCACCAAAGACCCCACAGUGCUCUGCAUGUUAUAACAGUGAUGUUAUGGGUUAUAUUUUUUUACAUUUGAUUGUAAAAUCUGAUUUCAACAAUUUGAAAGCAGUACCGAUAGACCUUGACUUACAACAGCUCAUUUAGUGACCGUUCAAAGUUACAAUGACACUUUAAAAAGUAACUUAUGACUGUUUUUUGCACUUAUGAUCAUUGCAGCCUCCUCAUGGUCACGUGAUCAAAAUUCAGACACUUGGCAACUGACUCAUAUUUAUGACCAUUGCAGUGUCCUGGAAUCAUCUGAUCACUUUUUGUGACCUUCUGACAAGCAAAGUCAAUGGGGAAGCCAGAUUCACUUAACAACUGCAAUACUAACUUAACAACUGCAGUGAUUCAGUUAAGAACUGGGGCAAGAAAGGUUGUAAAAUGGGACAAAACUCAUUGAACAAAUGUCUCCCUUAACAACAGAAAUUUUGAGCUCAAUUUUGGUCAUAAGUCAAGGAAUACCUGUAAUUAUCAAUUAGAAAAAGAACAUGAUUGAAAGAAUCCCUCCUUCCAGCCCUUAAGAAAAUUAUCUAUUGUUUCUCAUUCAGAAGUCCAUGUAUCAUUGGUGAUCCACAGAAGUAAUCUAGUUGACAAAUAAUUCCUUUCCCAAAAUGGGACAGCAGAGCAGGGGGCCAGAAAUCAUAGCCUCCAGGUGGGGUCCUCUGAGCAAAGAGCCACCCAGAUCAGCAAGGUUUAGGUUUAAAAAAUAAGCUUAACAUUUUGCAGUAUUUAACGUUAACUUUUCAUUUGGUUAUAUAGAGGGGGGAAAUGGUUAAGUUAGGACUUAGGGGCAGACAGUGCAUCAAUUCCAUCUUAGAGAAAUAUUGCUAAUAGUACCAUUGCAAUUUUUAAUGCCUUGAAAACUUGUUAUAAUUGGCACAUACAGUAUAACAGAAGAUCUGGUAUCUCUCUCUUCUUGGAAAAGCAAGACACUUUAUUUCUAUUUUCUGGGAACUCUCAUUCUUUGAUAGAUUGAUUUGACUUUGGAUACAAGAAGUUUAAAAACAAUGAGCUAAGGUUGUUUGUACAUUAUGCUAUUGGCUAGCUAUAUAGUUUCCAUGUUGUGUUUUAGCUAUGUUUUAGUUAUGAUUAAUUGAAUAGUCUGGGUUACUACCAUACACUGUUAUAAACCAUGAUUUUCAAAUCAUAGUGGAUUGAUUUCACAGCACAUAGCCAAAGGAAGAAAGAAAAAAUGAUUAAUACAUUAUGUGAAUCCAAAUACGAACAAUUGAGCUUGGAAUCCUAAGAGAAUGCAGGAUGAUUUCUUAGGCAUCCGAUGUGAGAAAAUGGAUUUUAUUCGCUGUUGAAAUGUCCAUUCUGUGUCUCUAUCUUUGCUCAACUGCAAAUUAAAGCAAAUAUUGCAAAUGCCA
Non-coding RNA from Pantherophis guttatus, 4725 nucleotides. Lineage: Eukaryota; Metazoa; Chordata; Lepidosauria; Squamata; Colubridae. The record is from RefSeq and is a predicted model, not a curated record.